CAUGCUCCGCUAUAAAAAGAGCACCAUGGACACUAACCAAAUCAGAAGUUUGAGAAAGGUCCACGACCGAAACGCGUUACUUCUUUUUUGGCAAUAUUGAGCCACCGUAGUCUGUGACGUCAGACUAUUACCUCCAGCAAACCAGUGAGGAAAAGACCGGACGGGAAUUACCCUGCUUUUAGACGCUAAAAAAGGCGUUGCAUCUACAACUCACCAGGCCUGUAUGCCGUUUGGAAAAACUUAAUGGUAACCUGGAUUUACCAUUAAGUGAAAGAAACAGGACAACGACAUCGUAUCUGUAAACCAUCAGACGCUCACUUUGGAACCAACAAUCUAAAGGUAACCUGGCUUUACCGCUACUCCAAAAAUUCGGGAAUAUUCCUAUCAAAAAGUCAGGAUUGGAACACUGAACAAGCUAUAUCUUGAUCAUAUAAGAAUGGGAGUGACGUCAUCAGCAGCUGACAGGAGAGCCACAAGCAUUACAAGUGCUGUGUCCAAGCGUUUUCAAACUAAGUAACGGUGGAUGAUCCGGACAGGUUGGGCCGCUGAAUAGAUACUGACCGAAACAGGUGGUGGUGGAUGACCUGAUUAGGAUUGAGCCGAAUACUAAAGACUUUCCUCUAUAGUCACUCAUGCUGUGAGAAGUUGCCGUAUUAGAGAUAUCAGUGCUUACUAUGACUGCUCACGCUUGUAUUGACACACUUUGUACAGUAUUACUGAACCCAUUAAUCUGGGACUGUUGCCUAAUAUAUUAUUUGUUUGGUCAGUGGAUUAGCCUUUGUGUUCCUGGGUCUGUUUAGGGGGAAUAUUUUAUAAACAGCGUAAACUUUUUACUACUUGGGAAAUACACCAUAAACAGACUUUCAGGGAUUGUGAUGUACAAUACUAAUCUGCUUACUUGCCUGCUUACCCUGGACUGCUGGUGACCCCCCCCUUAGGAUGCCUUGGGGGUAUCUCUGCAUGUAUCUUAUUUGUUUAUUUUUUUGUUGUAUGUGUGAUGAGUGUGUGUGAUGACUUGGGGCCCUUGAAAUUUAUUCUGCAUCAUCUUGUUUGAUAUGAGCUAAUGAAUAAACAUUAUAUAAGCUG
Bombina bombina (fire-bellied toad) is the source of this 1086-nucleotide long non-coding RNA. RefSeq lists it as uncharacterized. Lineage: Eukaryota; Metazoa; Chordata; Amphibia; Anura; Bombinatoridae. The transcript is spliced from 2 exons. The record is from RefSeq and is a predicted model, not a curated record.